RNAcentral lists this ribosomal RNA (418 nucleotides) under uncultured bacterium. Its description in RNAcentral is "bacterial SSU rRNA". It matches the Rfam family "Bacterial small subunit ribosomal RNA", at positions 362 to 776 of the family's 1533-position model. The record is from RNAcentral.
UAUUGGUCAAUGGGCGGAAGCCUGAACCAGCCAAGUCGCGUGAGGGAAUAAGGCCCUACGGGUCGUAAACCUCUUUUGCCGGGGAGCAAGGGCGGGGACGUGUCCCGGCCCGGAGAGUACCCGGAGAAAAAGCAGCGGCUAACUCCGUUCCAGCCGCCGCGGUAAUACGGAGGGUGCGAGCGUUAAUCGGAAUUACUGGGCGUAAAGCGCUCGUAGGCGGUAUGUCAAGUCAAGGGUGAAAUCCCCGCGCUCAACGUGGGGACUGCCUUUGAAACUGGCAAACUGGAGUGUGUGAGAGGAUAGUGGAAUUCCAGGUGUAGGAGUGAAAUCCGUAGAUAUCUGGAGGAACAUCAGUGGCGAAGGCGACUAUCUGGCACAUAACUGACGCUGAGGAGCGAAAGCGUGGGUAGCAAACAGG